Molecule: long non-coding RNA, 1735 nt
Filed under: Anser cygnoides (Swan goose)
Lineage: Eukaryota; Metazoa; Chordata; Aves; Anseriformes; Anatidae
Description: lncRNA (ENSACDG00005003660.1)
Source: RNAcentral
GGUUGUUCCCCCGGCAUGGUCAUUUUCUGGCAAAUAAUAUGAACCUGAAGGCUGUGCAAAUUGAUUCCUGGGAAGCCUGACCUCCCUGUUGGGAACUACAAAAGGCUGUCCGAGAGGCUUACAAACAGCUAUCCCAGGCUGCUGCCUGGGCUUAAUCCUUCUGAUCCACUUGCGAUCCUGAAAGCUACCUCUCCUGCAAGGCUAUCGCCACUCCUGAGGCACCAAGAGUGGGGGAGAUGCCAAGAGACUGCAUGGAUGCCAGGGGGAAGACCAUGCUCACAUAUUUGCUGCAGUUAUUUCCCGCAUCCUCGGUGAUGCCGCUGUGCCAGGAGAACAUCAGUUCAAUCAACAACAGUUUUAAUUUGCCAAUUUCUAAGCUUCACUCAUACAGAGGACCCAAGGAUGGCAGCUUCUUCACCCCACCACACUCACCACAGGUUUGUUCCCAGAGCCGCGUGCAAAAAAUCAUGGGAGAGCAGGAAGAAAUGGCUUUGCAGUGCUCAAGGUUGACUUUGCAACGUGGCAGAGGCCAGAAAAAGGCAGAUUUAUUGGGUCAAAGCAGUUACAUUAAAGGAAGACAAAUUCUGAUAUGGUGCUUCAGUUCCAGGGACACCCCACUCGCACAAGAAGGGCUGUUUCCUCGAGGUCAUCCCAUGCUGCAGCUUGUGCCAGUGCCUCCGGUGCUCUCACUGUGCCCCUGGGAGCAGGGUCUGGUCCCAGCAUCUCCAGGACCCUUUUGGGCUGGGGGAGAUACCUGCAGGGAAUUCCCCAGUGCCUCCUUGCCUGCAGCUGAGCAAGCCCCGCACCUGCAGCCUCGCCUUGCACACCCUGGCCUCCACCUGUCUGAGGCCUCCCUGGGCUCACUCCUGUCUGGAGAUCCCUGUGAGCCCCAAACCAGUCCCAGUAUCUUGGUGUCAUCACCCAAGUGCCAAGUAGAGGGGAGCGCUCCCUUCCCUCAACCUGCUGUCUACCCCGAGUCAAGCUGAAAAAGAGGACAGUGCCUCCAGAUCAUCUUCAAGUCGCCUCAGCUGGAAACCAAAAUACCUGUCUGGAGUGAAGCUGUACACAGGUACAGGGCUGUCUGCCUUCGCUGAGCCGAGGGAUGGUCUGUGCCACCGAGCUCAGGAAUGUGUCACCUCCAUGGCGUCCAGGGAGCAGGAGCAUAAUCAUACAGAGAGGCUCCGUGUCAAGCUCGUGUGUUUUUCUGCUGAGUCCUGAAAUUCUGCAGUCACGUAAUGACAGCUCUCCUUCCUGCUCAGUUUCAGGAUCUGAUCCGGGAGGCUUCUAUGGUUUCACCCACUAUUUAUUCUUCACCUCACAUGAUUUUUGGAAUUUCCAUUUCAAAAUGUUUUGUGGAUUUUGUCCUACUGUGAUGCUGGCAACCAGGGAUAGCACAAUUUUCGUUCUCAAACUGGGUUUUCUCAAUUUUCCCAGUAGGGGCAGCACUUGCCUUUCAAGUGAGUCAAAAGGAAGAAAAAUAUCUGUAUUUAAAAAAUGAAUUCCUGUUUCUCGAGUAGCUUGAAUAGCAAGUACAAUUUCAGCACAAACCUGAACUAAGUGGGUUUAGUAGUUAUCAUUUCUUUUUAAUGUUUAACAUGCUGCCUAAAGCUGAAGAGUGAUUUGUGUCCUGUGUCAUCAUGCAAGCUGUAUUACUUAGAUUACAAUAAGGUCUCUAAGUCAAACCUCCUUUUACUCUAGUAAUAAAAAUAAUAAUAAUAAAGAUAUUAUGAUUGUC